ACGGGUGAGUAAUGUCUGGGAAACUGCCUGAUGGAGGGGGAUAACUACUGGAAACGGUAGCUAAUACCGCAUAACGUCGCAAGACCAAAGAGGGGGACCUUCGGGCCUCUUGCCAUCAGAUGUGCCCAGAUGGGAUUAGCUAGUAGGUGGGGUAAUGGCUCACCUAGGCGACGAUCCCUAGCUGGUCUGAGAGGAUGACCAGCCACACUGGAACUGAGACACGGUCCAGACUCCUACGGGAGGCAGCAGUGGGGAAUAUUGCACAAUGGGCGCAAGCCUGAUGCAGCCAUGCCGCGUGUAUGAAGAAGGCCUUCGGGUUGUAAAGUACUUUCAGCGGGGAGGAAGGUGUUGUGGUUAAUAACCACAGCAAUUGACGUUACCCGCAGAAGAAGCACCGGCUAACUCCGUGCCAGCAGCCGCGGUAAUACGGAGGGUGCAAGCGUUAAUCGGAAUUACUGGGCGUAAAGCGCACGCAGGCGGUCUGUCAAGUCGGAUGUGAAAUCCCCGGGCUCAACCUGGGAACUGCAUUCGAAACUGGCAGGCUAGAGUCUUGUAGAGGGGGGUAGAAUUCCAGGUGUAGC
This 581-nucleotide ribosomal RNA is filed under the name uncultured bacterium. RNAcentral describes it as "bacterial SSU rRNA". It matches the Rfam family "Bacterial small subunit ribosomal RNA", at positions 102 to 679 of the family's 1533-position model. The record is from RNAcentral.